UACGUAGGGUGCGAGCGUUGUCCGGAAUUAUUGGGCGUAAAGAGCUCGUAGGCGGUUUGUCGCGUCGGCCGUGAAAACUUGGGGCUUAGCCCCAAGCCUGCGGUCGAUACGGGCAGACUUGAGUUCGGCAGGGGAGACUGGAAUUCCUGGUGUAGCGGUGAAAUGCGCAGAUAUCAGGAGGAACACCGGUGGCGAAGGCGGGUCUCUGGGCCGAUACUGACGCUGAGGCGCGAAAGCUAGGGGAGCAAACGGG
RNAcentral lists this ribosomal RNA (253 nucleotides) under uncultured bacterium. RNAcentral describes it as "partial 16S ribosomal RNA". It matches the Rfam family "Bacterial small subunit ribosomal RNA", at positions 524 to 776 of the family's 1533-position model. The record is from RNAcentral.